RNAcentral lists this ribosomal RNA (254 nucleotides) under uncultured bacterium. Its description in RNAcentral is "partial 16S ribosomal RNA". It matches the Rfam family "Bacterial small subunit ribosomal RNA", at positions 524 to 776 of the family's 1533-position model. The record is from RNAcentral.
UACGUAGGGUGCAAGCGUUGUCCGGAAUUAUUGGGCGUAAAGAGCUCGUAGGCGGUCUGUUGCGUCGGCUGUGAAAACCCGAGGCUCAACCUCGGGCCUGCAGCCGAUACGGGCAGACUAGAGUUCGGCAGGGGAGACUGGAAUUCCUGGUGUAGCGGUGAAAUGCGUAGAUAUCAGGAGGAACACCUGUGGCGAAAGCGGCUCACUGGACCACAACUGACGCUGGAUGCACGAAAGCUAGGGGAGCAAACAGG